This 483-nucleotide ribosomal RNA is filed under the name uncultured bacterium. RNAcentral describes it as "partial 16S ribosomal RNA". It matches the Rfam family "Bacterial small subunit ribosomal RNA", at positions 28 to 523 of the family's 1533-position model. The record is from RNAcentral.
GACGAACGCUGGCGGCGUGCUUAACACAUGCAAGUCGAACGAUGAAGCCGGAGCUUGCUCCGGUGGAUUAGUGGCGAACGGGUGAGUAACACGUGAGCAAUCUGCCCUUGACUCUGGGAUAACUGCGGGAAACUGUAGCUAAUACCGGAUACGACACCUUGGGGCAUCCCAGGGUGUGGAAAGAAUUUCGGUCAAGGAUGAGCUCGCGGCCUAUCAGCUAGUUGGUGAGGUAAUGGCUCACAAAGGCGACGACGGGUAGCCGGCCUGAGAGGGUGCCCGGCCACACUGGAACUGAGACACGGUCCAGACUCCUACGGGAGGCAGCAGUGGGGAAUAUUGCACAAUGGGCGAAAGCCUGAUGCAGCAACGCCGCGUGAGGGAUGAAGGCCUUCGGGUUGUAAACCUCUUUUAGCAGGGACGAAGCGAAAGUGACGGUACCUGCAGAAAAAGCACCGGCUAACUACGUGCCAGCAGCCGCCGUAA